This 409-nucleotide ribosomal RNA is filed under the name Fusobacteriota bacterium. RNAcentral's name for it is "Fusobacteria bacterium partial 16S ribosomal RNA". It matches the Rfam family "Bacterial small subunit ribosomal RNA", at positions 355 to 776 of the family's 1533-position model. Lineage: Bacteria; Fusobacteriati; Fusobacteriota. The record is from RNAcentral.
UGGGGAAUAUUGCACAAUGGAGGGAACUCUGAUGCGGCAACGCCGCGUGCGGGAUGACGGCCUUCGGGUUGUAAACCGCUUUCAGCCAUGACGAAGCUUUUGUGACGGUAGUGGUAGAAGAAGCACCGGCUAACUACGUGCCAGCAGCCGCGGUGAUACGUAGGGUGCGAGCGUUGUCCGGAAUUAUUGGGCGUAAAGAGCUUGUAGGCGGUUUGUCGCGUCGAAAGUGUAAACUCAGUGCUUAACGCUGAGCCUGCUUUCGAUACGGGCUGACUAGAGGAGGGUAGGGGAGAAUGGAAUUCCCGGUGGAGCGGUGGAAUGCGCAGAUAUCGGGAGGAACACCAGUGGCGAAGGCGGUUCUCUGGACCUUUCCUGACGCUGAGAAGCGAAAGCGUGGGUAGCAAACAGG